Molecule: RNA transcript, 3219 nt
Organism: Aquila chrysaetos chrysaetos
Lineage: Eukaryota; Metazoa; Chordata; Aves; Accipitriformes; Accipitridae
Gene: DNAJB12
Gene name: DnaJ heat shock protein family (Hsp40) member B12
Exons: 10
Source: RefSeq, a predicted model, not a curated record
CCCCGCCCCCUCCCCCCCCCCGCCCGGCCGGCCGCCGCCAUGGAGUCGAACAGGGACGAGGCGGAGCGGUGCAUCGGUAUCGCGCUGGCCGCCGCCAAAGCUAACCAGCCCGACAAGGCCCGCCGGUUCCUGGAGAAGGCGCAGCGCUUGUACCCCUCGCCGCGGGUCCGCGUUCUGCUUGAAUCACUCAACAAGAACGAGCAAUCAGCCAAUGGCCAGUCCCAAUCCAGGGAGUCCACAAACUCUCAGUUCAAGAAAAUGAGCAGAGACUUCCCAUCGGCCAAUGGAGAGGCUGGUGGGGAGGCCCCCAAGGGCUACACUCAGGACCAGGUGGAUGCAGUGAAGAGGGUAAAGCAGUGCAAAGAUUACUAUGAAAUUCUGGGAGUAAACAGAGAAGCUUCUGAUGAGGACCUGAAAAAGGCCUACCGGAAACUUGCACUGAAGUUUCACCCAGAUAAGAACCACGCACCGGGGGCUACAGAGGCAUUUAAAGCCAUUGGUAAUGCGUACGCGGUAUUGAGCAACCCAGAGAAGAGGAAGCAAUAUGACCAGUUUGGAGAUGAGAAACUCAACCCUGCUCGGCACGGACACAGUCACUCGGACUUCCACCGUGGGUUUGAGGCUGACAUCUCACCCGAGGACCUCUUCAACAUGUUUUUUGGUGGUGGUUUUCCUUCUAGUAACGUUCACGUAUACAGCAAUGGCAGGAUGCGAUAUACCUACCAUCAGAGGCAGGACAGACGAGAACAUCAGGGUGAUGGUGGCCUUGGGUUGUUUGUCCAGCUGAUGCCUAUCCUCAUCCUGAUCAUUGUGUCUGCUCUCAGCCAGAUGAUGGUCUCCAGCCCACCCUACAGUUUGAGCCAGAGGCCGUCUGUGGGUCACAUACACAGAAGAGUGACAGAGCACUUGAAAGUCAGCUACUACGUAUCUGAGAACUUUGCAGACGAAUACACAGGCACAAACCUGAAAAACAUUGAAAGGAGCGUGGAGGACGACUAUAUUGCAAACCUUCGAAAUAACUGCUGGAAAGAGAAGCAGCAGAAGGAAGGCUUGUUGUACCGGGCACGCUACUUCGGAGACUCGGAUCUGUACCGGCGAGCACAGAAGAUGGGCACCCCCAGCUGUAGCAGACUGUCAGAUGUUCAAGCCUCUCUGCACGGAUAGUCACCGCCUGCCCGCUCAGCAGAGGUCUAAAGAGCCGCUCUUAGGCAGAGGGCCCGCUGCGGACUGAAAUAGUGCAAUUGAACUCAUGAAAUGCCUGAAGACUUUUGGUGAAGUGCACUGAGCCGAGGUGACAGACUUGAUAUUUAAAAGAAUCAAACCUUAUCUUAAAAAUGGAAUUGGAGAAUUAGCAACGCACAACUGCCCUCUUUCUUCUCUCUGCCUGUCUCCGCUGUUCGACCUACGUCUCAGGCAGCGAUUAGGACAGGAAAUCAAGCUGCCCGUCUUCCUCCUUCCCUUCUGACACCGCUAGUGUGCGACAGUCUCCUUGCUCCUGGGCUCCCACAACCCCGAGAACAGACGCGUAGAGUGUAAAAUAACACAAACUAACUGCAGAAGCCGUGAAGCAGAAGGAGAUCCUUCGCAACUGCGCUGGUCACUGCCGACGGAGAGAGAAAUUGGACGAUUUGGUGAUAAAGAAAACUUUGAAAAAAAGAAAAUAUAAUCUAUUUAGAAUUAAUUUAUAGCUGUAUAUAUGUUGUACUUUUAAACUAUGCAGGGGUUGGAUGAUUAAAUUAUUUUGUUUUCUGCCCGGUUUGGUAAACAAGGAAGCGGGAAGUCUUUUCCCAGGGUGUCUCGCUCUGCAGUGCUUUCCUGCCUGACACACUAAAAGAAGAAUCACUUUGCUGUUACUGUAUUUUGCUUUCUGGAGGACAGCGGCGUUCUGCGGCUUGGGAUGUCGAUACCUGCCUUUCGGGUUUUAAUAAAAGAAAUUCCAAAUCUGUAGGGGGUAACAAAGAAAUCAGGGAAACUGUCCAGAUUUGUGGUGUGGUUUUGCAGCGUGGGCAGAAGCUGCAGCGGGUCAGCUGAGCCCCCGCAUCGCACUCAGUGAUGGGAAGGAUUGUCCUGGAUGGUUUUUGCUCAUCAGUCGUUGGGUUUAUUUGUGCACGUAACUUCUUUUUUUGCAGACUCUGCUUUAAUUUUGCCUCGUCAUCAGCGUGCGGCGUUCGUUCUGUAAAGAGGGCUUUCCACAAGCCGUCUCCCUUUGUUGGGUUUUUUUUUGUGUGUCCCCUACACUUGGGGUUCCUCACCCACCAGGACUCCCGUUUGCAACAUGGCUGUGGCCUUGACACCCUAACUCUAACGUUUCCUAGAGGACACCCAUAAAAUACUGCUAAUUCACAAGAAAUGGAGCUUUCUGUUGCUUCUGUUGAAAGAAGUUUUGCCGGGGGAGAUCACAGGGUGCGCCUGAGCUCUCCUCGGACCCCACCUGAGCUCUGCAGCGUCUCUCACUCGAUCACCGACAGGCAGGACUGGCGGGAGGGUGCUCGAGGUCAGGAGCCAUCUCUUCAAAGCAAAGCCGGCACGAGCGGAGCUCCCUUCCAUCGAAUAAACUGGAUUUUUUUUUUUUUUUUUUUUUUUUUUUUUUGGUACUUUGCAGUUCAUUUUUGUCUAAAGACAUUUCCAGUGAGAACAGUCCCCCAACACGCUCGGGGGAAUGAAUCAAAAGCACAGUGGCUUCCGGGUGAGGUGGCAGGGGCUGGAAGAGGCGAGAGGUAAGGUGGUUUUAUUUCUUUGUCAUUAGGAAUCCACAUGCUCUGUCUUCAGCUGUUUAUUUAUUUUGCAAAAUAUCAGCCCUCCCGUUAACUGCAAGCCUUACUAUCCCACAGCCACCAUGACUUGGACCUGAUUUUAAGGGGUUUUUUUCUUCUUUUUGUUUCUUUAAAUUCCUCCACCUUUGGAAGGAAUUGGGUGGAAGUACAGCAUUUGGAAAUAGCUCUUAGUAGCGGCACAGGCUAGCUGGCCUGAAGAGAUCAUGGGGAGGGGGUUAAACGAAAACCACGUACGCAGAAGGUGCUGAAUGUCUUGCACAACAGCAUUCCUUGCCCAGAGCCUGCCCGCCAAAACCUUUUGAUUAUUUUUCUUCCAAGUAGAUACCCAUGGAUAAUAACGAGCGAGAAGGCAUAGAUCCUAACGGAUGCUCACAGAGGCUGUAUCUCUCGAUUUAGAAUUAAUUAUACAAUUGUACAUCUAUAAAUAAAUGUUUAUAAUGUGAAA